GUCGAGACAGGCAGGCAGCCUGCACUCACUGAACGAGAUAGAAUUAACCUUUCUCAUAAAACUAGGACGUCUGCUACUUGCCCCUCAAAAAGAAGUCGUUGGUCUGUCACAUUUCUGUAACAUCAUAUUGAGCUUACAUAGCCUACCUACAUACAAGUAGGAUGCAGAAUCAAUGUAUUAAGGUAGGGUCACCGGGGACAGCUCCCGUUUUUGGUAGCCUGUCCCCGGCUGGAGAUGUCCCCGGAAAUGUCCCCGUUUUUAACUGUGCGUUAAAAACAGACCGCAAAGUGAAAUAAUAUUUUAAGUGGCAAGAAAGACCGGGCAGCAGAGCAGUUGACAUCUCAAUCGCGUUGUGCUUGUUUUGGCCAACAGAUGGGGCUGGCGGGCUGCUCGUUAUAGCAGCUUCAUAUCACUUCUUCUUCUACUAACUACUUGCUUGCGCUUGUUUUAGAGAAAACUGCUGUGGAAAACUUAGCCAGAAGCUAGCAAAUGUCAAGUGAAUCCACAACAUUACCACAGACGUCUUUUCAAAACCAUAGUUUAUUACAGUACAACAGUUACCAUGGUCAAAAUACAUUAAACCAGAAUUGUCCCCCUUUUUUAUUUCAUAGAUAGUAACAUUGGAUAUUUAAAUUAUAUAUUGACCGCCGAACUGGAAAUAUCCCCGGUUUUCAUUUCAGAAAUCUGGUCACCUUAUAUUAAGGUUCGGUACAUUUGCAUGUAUCAACUUGAAGGAACCGGUCCGGUACUGUGAAAAGAAUCGGUCCGCCCACCACUAUUACAAAUAAUAUUCCCCCUUCAUUGAUGGGUGAUGAUGGCACUAGACGUUUUCUGUUGAGGCGGGGGAGCCGACUCCAGUGCUCUUCCACUAGCAAUGCCACUUGAUCACUUGAAGAAUCAUUCAAAUUAAUAACGAGACUGUCCAAUCAGUACAGUGGAGAACAAGGGGUGAUCCAAAGGCUUUAGACCAAAGCAAAGGGCUGCACUGACUGCAUCUGCCAUCCACCAUUCCAAUCAAACAAAUUCAAAGAUGGCAGAUCAAGAAGCUGACUCAAUCGAUAAUCUGUGGCCGCACCUUCUACUUUUUAAGCCCAAAGUAGGAAAGGAAAUAAUAUUUUAAUGAAAUGCUGCUUCUGCUUCACCGAAAUUUCAACCUUCAAAAACUCAACAUCGAACCUACGGAAGCAUAUCGAAAGAGAAGCUGGAUAACUGCAUGAAGCCCACGCAUCUGCAGCGGCAUCUAAACACUGAACGCAUCGCAUGUCGAAUCCGGUGGAGACGCAGGAUCACAUCCCUCUUCCUGCUUUAAAGAGGGAUCCCCUCAGCUGUCUCCCCGACGUCGCUACCCCUAAAUUCGGUUACUUUACUUUACUUUAAAGACCAGCGACUUUAGUUGUUGAGUUCGGUUUUGUUUUGUCUAUAAUUUUGAUUAAAUAAAAGGCCCUGUUGGGCUAUUUUUCCCCAAA
Long non-coding RNA from Anguilla anguilla (European eel), 1466 nucleotides. RefSeq lists it as uncharacterized. NCBI's taxonomy places the organism in Eukaryota, Metazoa, Chordata, Actinopteri, Anguilliformes, Anguillidae. The record is from RefSeq and is a predicted model, not a curated record. The transcript has 3 exons.